RNAcentral lists this transfer RNA (63 nucleotides) under Calcaritermes brevicollis. RNAcentral's name for it is "tRNA-Thr". The record is from RNAcentral. RNAcentral also lists the same sequence under 1 other name. Lineage: Eukaryota; Metazoa; Arthropoda; Insecta; Blattodea; Kalotermitidae.
GUUUUAGUAAUUUAAUAAAAAUAUUGGUCUUGUAAAUCAAAAAUGAGCAGUGCUCCUAAAACU